AUUGAACGCUGGCGGCAUGCUUUACACAUGCAAGUCGAACGGCAGCGCGGGCUUCGGCCUGGCGGCGAGUGGCGAACGGGUGAGUAAUGCAUCGGAACGUGCCCAGUAGUGGGGGAUAGCCCGGCGAAAGCCGGAUUAAUACCGCAUACGACCUGAGGGUGAAAGCGGGGGACCGAAAGGCCUCGCGCUAUUGGAGCGGCCGAUGUCGGAUUAGCUAGUUGGUGGGGUAAAGGCUUACCAAGGCGACGAUCCGUAGCUGGUCUGAGAGGACGACCAGCCACACUGGGACUGAGACACGGCCCAGACUCCUACGGGAGGCAGCAGUGGGGAAUUUUGGACAAUGGGGGCAACCCUGAUCCAGCCAUGCCGCGUGCGGGAAGAAGGCCUUCGGGUUGUAAACCGCUUUUGUUCGGGAAGAAAUCCUCUGGGCUAAUACCCCGGGGGGAUGACGGUACCGGAAGAAUAAGCACCGGCUGACUACGUG
RNAcentral lists this ribosomal RNA (484 nucleotides) under uncultured bacterium. RNAcentral describes it as "partial 16S ribosomal RNA". It matches the Rfam family "Bacterial small subunit ribosomal RNA", at positions 28 to 507 of the family's 1533-position model. The record is from RNAcentral.